This 497-nucleotide ribosomal RNA is filed under the name uncultured bacterium. RNAcentral's name for it is "partial 16S ribosomal RNA". It matches the Rfam family "Bacterial small subunit ribosomal RNA", at positions 28 to 507 of the family's 1533-position model. The record is from RNAcentral.
GAUGAACGCUGGCGGCGUGCCUAAUACAUGCAAGUCGAGCGAACGGACGAGAAGCUUGCUUCUCUGAUGUUAGCGGCGGACGGGUGAGUAACACGUGGAUAACCUACCUAUAAGACUGGGAUAACUUCGGGAAACCGGAGCUAAUACCGGAUAAUAUUAUGAACCGCAUUGUUCAAAAGUGAAAGACGGUCUUGCUGUCACUUAUAGAUGGAUCCGCGCUGCAUUAGCUAGUUGGUAAGGUAACGGCUUACCAAGGCAACGAUGCAUAGCCGACCUGAGAGGGUGAUCGGCCACACUGGAACUGAGACACGGUCCAGACUCCUACGGGAGGCAGCAGUAGGGAAUCUUCCGCAAUGGGCGAAAGCCUGACGGAGCAACGCCGCGUGAGUGAUGAAGGUCUUCGGAUCGUAAAACUCUGUUAUUAGGGAAGAACAUAUGUGUAAGUAACUGUGCACAUCUUGACGGUACCUAAUCAGAAAGCCACGGCUAACUACGUG